RNAcentral lists this ribosomal RNA (207 nucleotides) under uncultured bacterium. Its description in RNAcentral is "partial 16S ribosomal RNA". It matches the Rfam family "Bacterial small subunit ribosomal RNA", at positions 568 to 774 of the family's 1533-position model. The record is from RNAcentral.
CGCGCAGGUGGUUUCUUAAGUCUGAUGUGAAAGCCCACGGCUCAACCGUGGAGGGUCAUUGGAAACUGGGAGACUUGAGUGCAGAAAAGGAUAGUGGAAUUCCAAGUGUAGCGGUGAAAUGCGUAGAGAUUUGGAGGAACACCAGUGGCGAAGGCGACUGUCUGGUCUGUAACUGACACUGAGGCGCGAAAGCGUGGGGAGCAAACA